Molecule: ribosomal RNA, 406 nt
Filed under: uncultured bacterium
Lineage: Bacteria
Description: partial 16S ribosomal RNA
Rfam family: Bacterial small subunit ribosomal RNA
Source: RNAcentral
AUUGAACGCUGGCGGCAGGCCUAACACAUGCAAGUCGAACGAGUGGCGGACGGGUGAGUAAUGUCUGGGGAACUGCCUGAUGGAGGGGGAUAACUAAUGGAAACGGUAGCUAAUACCGCAUACCAUCAGAUGUACCCAGAUGGGAUUAGCUAGUUGGUGGGGUAACGGCUCACCAAGGCGACGAUCCCUAGCUGGUCUGAGAGGAUGACCAGCCACACUGGAACUGAGACACGGUCCAGACUCCGAGGGGAGGCAGCAGUGGGGAAUAUUGCAAAAUGGGGGGAAGCCUGAUGCAGCCAUGCCGCGUGUAUGAAGAAGGCCUUCGGGUUGUAAAGUACUUUCAGCGGGGAGGCGUUACCCGAAGAAGAAGCACCGGCUAACUCCGUGCCAGCCGCCGCGGUAAUUC